RNAcentral lists this ribosomal RNA (253 nucleotides) under uncultured bacterium. RNAcentral's name for it is "partial 16S ribosomal RNA". It matches the Rfam family "Bacterial small subunit ribosomal RNA", at positions 524 to 776 of the family's 1533-position model. The record is from RNAcentral.
UACAGAGGGUGCAAACGUUGCUCGGAUUCACUGGGCGUAAAGGGCACGUAGGCGGGAGAGUAAAUCAGCUGUGGAAUGCCAUCGCUCACCGGUGGAAUUGCAGCUGAAAAUGCUCUUCUUGAGCGCAGGAGGGGUGAGGGGAACUCUAGGUGGAGCGGUGAAAUGCGUAGAUAUCUAGAGGAACGCCGGAGGCGAAAGCGCCUCACUGGCCUGCUGCUGACGCUGAGGUGCGAAAGCCAGGGGAGCAAACGGG